Molecule: unclassified non-coding RNA, 329 nt
Filed under: uncultured fungus
Lineage: Eukaryota; Fungi
Description: partial contains 5.8S ribosomal RNA and internal transcribed spacer 2
Rfam family: 5.8S ribosomal RNA (bases 1-132)
Source: RNAcentral
UGGUUUUGGCAUCGAUGAAGAACGCAGCGAAAUGCGAUAAGUAAUGCGAAUUGCAGAAUCCGUGAGUCAUCGAAUCUUUGAACGCACAUUGCGCCCUUUGGUAUUCCGAAGGGCAUGCCUGUUCGAGCGUCAUUAUCACCCCUCAAGCCUGGCUUGCUGUUGAACGUUAGGUCGGCCUCCGGGCGCGGACCUGUUCCAAAGAUAAUGGCGGCGUCUGUGAGGACCCCGGUACAAUGAGCUCUAAUCGGCACGUACCUAGCGGGAGUCCAGGCCCGGUCUUUCAUAAUUUUAUCAAGGUUGACCUCGGAUCAGGUAGGAAUACCCGCUGA